CUGAAGGGCUGGAGCCAGGAUCCACUCCAUCCCAGGCCUCAUUUAAGAGUUGGCAGUGGAGGUGAGAAUAUCUUGCUGGAAAUCUCUGUCUACCUGAGUCCUUCCAAGGGCUUUGAAUACCCAAUGUCUGACAACUGAUGAAACGCAUCAGGCUCAAAAAAAAGCUGGAAAGCAGUAUCAGACCUUCUGGAUACAACAUGGACUUGAAGUUGAGCCAGUUUACUUUUUCAAGUCCCAGUAUGAACUAUGUCAGAAGAUGUUGCUCUCUGCAUCGCAGGAUUCUCCAGUAAGGUCCUUCUUUGUCAUCCAACAAAUUGUCUAAAUGGACCAAGGAAGAUGACAGCUACUAACCUGUAAGGUACAUUUCUUGGUUUUAGAUAUACCCAACUGUCUGUUAGGAUACUGUCCUGAAGCUUUUGUAGCUUAACUUACCCAGUGUUAGGUCUAAUUAAUUUUUUUGAAAGUUCAAAGCAUAGACUGUGAGUUGACAGAAAGGGAUUUUCUUGCUCUCAAGUGUGAACUGUGGUUGAGUAUAGGGGAAUUUUUUUUUUUCCUUUUCCAUUUCUCUGUUCUCUUGUUGCAUUCACCGGGAACAGCAGAAUUUCAGCAUCUCCCUCUCCUCUCCUCCCAAAAAAGUCUUAAGUCACUUAAGAUGUUGCAACUCAGAUUCUUAUUGUCAGAGUUCAUUAAUUCAAAUUAGUGUAAUAAAUUGUACAUUUUGGGUUUGGCCCAAGGGAGCCUUUAAAGUCUUUGCCUAUGGAUUUCUCAGAUGCUAACUAUUACGGUAUUUCCCUAUAAAGUAGUUUAUGAAUAGAAUGUCAAUGAGGAGGGCCUGACAAGAAACAGAAGUAUGUAACACAAAACACCAAAAUACUCACAUUCCCCUUUACCUCUGCUAAUAGUUUUUUUUUCUCCUACGCCCCAGAAAGUAGAACUCUAUAACAGGCACCCGAAGCCUGUUAUGAGCCUCUCUGUAAGGGCAGCUGUUGCUUCAUUUAGUACAGAGAACAGAAAGACUUAUUUUUUUUUUUCCUCAGAUAUAGCCAUAAAUCUCAGCAUAAUGCAUCAACUCCAGCUCACUGUGCCACAAGACUGACUUUUUCAUUUUCUUGGUUUCUUUGAAGUCAUCUGAGCAGAGGAGGGAAGUGAUCUGGGACAUAGAUGUGCCCUGUGAUGGAACUCAUUCUUUUAGAGUUCUGAAAACAUCCUCAGAGUGUGCAAACCAGUCACAUCACUAUUCUGUUUACUUUAGACAGCAUUCAUUCUUUUGAAGAAGCUACUAUGUCUUGAAAGAUCAAUUCUGAACAUAUUUUAUUUUUUCUUCUAAAGAAAAAGGCGCAAGGGAUGAAAUGAUUUGUUGUCCGUACCUAUAUCAUCGUACAGUAAUGCUAUCAACUCCACUAGCAGUAUUUAUGAUUAUAAUGUUCUAUGAAAGUUAGGCAACUGUAUUUUAAGGUCUAUGUGCAGGAAAACAAGGCUUUGCUAUCCUAAAGGAGUAAUGACAUGAAAACCAACCACAAACACAUAGUUAAAGGUAAGGAACUGUAGUAGUUUUAUCUCCUGGAGAUUCAAUGGAGUGUUACAGAAAAAAACUCCCUAUAAUGUGAUCUGAGGAAUAACAGAGCAGAACAACCGAGACUAGAAGAGAUGCACAGACCCUGAACAAGUAGACGUCCAUAAAGAGGCACCCAGCUAGAUGCUUGCUGCCUUCUACUAUCCUUCAACAAGCAGCAAGAGGGCAAGGUGCAGCACAUAACUGAGGACAACCGUACUGUAUUCCCUGUCCUGGCAAUUGCACAAUUCAUUUAGCUACUAAGACAGCUUUUAGCACAUUAUCCUCAUGUAGGCACAUCCAGAUAGAAAGAUGAUAGGAAACAUUUUUUCAGUGACUCAGGUUAUCUGUAUGCUUAAUGAGGGGGAAAGCUCUGCCUUCCUUCACAUAAAUAAAUAACCACCAUGUGCCUAAAAUUCUGUCAAAAUUAUAAAUAUUUUAUAUGAAAAUGUUUCAAGGCAGGUGGUUUAUCUAAAAAUAAAAAUAAAUGAUAUUUCAUUUCAGUGAGAAGUAAAAACAUAUCUGGAGACAUUAAAAUGGAAAAGAAAAUUACUUGGGGAAGAUGCUUCAAUUAGAAUGGCAUCUAGGAGCUCAUCAGUCUAUCUCAAGUUAAGUAAGCAUGAUGUCACCCUAGCCAGAGUGGUUUUAAUUUGUUCAAAAUACUCAGUUGGAAUGAUUUAUAUCCCAAUAUUUCUGGCAAAGAUACUUAGGAGAGUUAAAUAUCUUUCCUGAAAGGCACAAGAGGCUUUUGUUGACUGAAUUGUGGUGAAGAAUAUCUAGAUGUAUAUUCAAUAAAAUAUAGUGAGCUGCUUAAAUUGGUUACUCCUAAGCUUAUCCCACCCAAAGCUGAUUCUAGCACUAUCAUUUUUUUAAAGAAGGCUUUUUAACUUCUUUUUUUUUUUUCUGACUUUGCAUGUUCCAUUUACUGUUCAGUUCUGAAAGAAAUGGAACUUACAGGAUAGACUAAGAACCUCAUCGAACCCACAGUAAUAGGUACUCUGCUGCAGUUUGCUAUCUCUUCAGACAUAGCAAUGCAACUCUUUAUCAGAAGGGCUUUUUAAAUAUUUUCUUUUUUUUUUUUUUUAACUAUUUUUAUUUUUUCAGUGAUGUAUCUUACUGAGCAGCCCCACAUGCUGUUGUUCUAGUGCACUGAGAAUGAGAUGUCUCAACAGAUUAAACCAAUCUAAA
Molecule: long non-coding RNA, 2740 nt
Filed under: Gallus gallus (chicken)
Lineage: Eukaryota; Metazoa; Chordata; Aves; Galliformes; Phasianidae
Source: RNAcentral